GACGAACGCUGGCGGCGUGCCUAAUACAUGCAAGUAGAACGCUGAAGAGAGGAGCUUGCUCUUCUUGGAUGAGUUGCGAACGGGUGAGUAACGCGUAGGUAACCUGCCUUGUAGCGGGGGAUAACUAUUGGAAACGAUAGCUAAUACCGCAUAACAAUGGAUGACACAUGUCAUUUAUUUGAAAGGGGCAAUUGCUCCACUACAAGAUGGACCUGCGUUGUACUAGCUAGUAGGUGAGGUAAUGGCUCACCUAGGCGACGAUACAUAGCCGACCUGAGAGGGGGAUCGGCCACACUGGGAAUGAGACACGGCCCAGACUCCUACGGGAGGCAGCAGUAGGGAAUCUUCGGCAAUGGGGGCAACCCUGACCGAGCAACGCCGCGUGAGGGAAGAAGGUUUUCGGAUCGUAAAGCUCUGUUGUAAGUCAAGAACGGGUGUGAGAGUGGAAAGUUCACACUGUGACGGUAGCUUACCAGAAAGGGACGGCUAACUACGUG
Molecule: ribosomal RNA, 497 nt
Filed under: uncultured bacterium
Lineage: Bacteria
Description: partial 16S ribosomal RNA
Rfam family: Bacterial small subunit ribosomal RNA
Source: RNAcentral